CUAAAUUGUCCAAUUUUAUAUCUGAUAGCUAGGAGUAGUCAUGACCUUGUAACAAAAGUAAAUGGUCUCAUACCAUACAAUCUCUUUUCUUAUACUUUAGUUUGCUUCCAUUCGUUAUAGUUCAUUCCCUAGUCUACAAUCCAAUUCUUUAGGAGGGAGUACUUGACAAUAACCAAGAUCUAAUAACAUCAUCUCAAAACCUUUUCCAAACUAUUUAGAGUUGCUACAUGAAUCAUGAUCUGCCAUUUUACUCUAUCAAGAUCCAUGGUCGCAUCUGAUUCCUAAAAUGGGAUCUCAAGCACAAGUAUAGGUUCUUCAAUUUAAAGCCUUCUACUAUGACGGCUAUCAAUAAAUUAUUGGGUUUGCACGCCAAAGGAAUCAACUAACUGCAAGUUCAGCAAAUUUCAAAAGCCCAUCCAAGGUUCAUAUGCCAUAUGCCAACGACGCUUUGCUUGAGAAACUCUUGAAAUCUUCACAGGCAUCUGGUGGAACUUCAUGAAAUUUGAGGACAAAAGUUCCUAGAAGAUGAUAGCUAAUUUUUUAUUGCUACUAAUUUUUCACAAUAGGUUGU
RNAcentral lists this long non-coding RNA (571 nucleotides) under Amborella trichopoda. RNAcentral describes it as "long non-coding RNA (ATRI_LNC002591)". Lineage: Eukaryota; Viridiplantae; Streptophyta; Magnoliopsida; Amborellales; Amborellaceae. The record is from RNAcentral.